AGAAUCAACGCUGGCGGCGUGCCUAACACAUGCAAGUCGCACGAGAAAGGGGACUUCGGUCUCCGAGUACAGUGGCGCACGGGUGAGUAACACGUGAAUCAUCUACCUUCGAGUGUGGAAUAACUGAGAGAAAUCUUAGCUAAUACCGCAUAAUACCUACGGGUCAAAGCAGCAAUGCGCUUGAAGAGGAGUUCGCGGCAGAUUAGUAGUUGGCGGGGUAAUGGCCCACCAAGACGAUGAUCUGUA
RNAcentral lists this ribosomal RNA (246 nucleotides) under uncultured bacterium. RNAcentral's name for it is "partial small subunit ribosomal RNA". It matches the Rfam family "Bacterial small subunit ribosomal RNA", at positions 26 to 285 of the family's 1533-position model. The record is from RNAcentral.